Molecule: ribosomal RNA, 484 nt
Filed under: uncultured bacterium
Lineage: Bacteria
Description: partial 16S ribosomal RNA
Rfam family: Bacterial small subunit ribosomal RNA
Source: RNAcentral
AUUGAACGCUGGCGGCAGGCCUAACACAUGCGAGUCGAGCGGAUGAAGGGAGCUUGCUCCUGGAUUCAGCGGCGGACGGGUGAGUAAUGCCUAGGAAUCUGCCUGGUAGUGGGGGAUAACGUCCGGAAGCGGGCGCUAAUACCGCAUACGUCCUGAGGGAGAAAGUGGGGGAUCUUCGGACCUCACGUUAUCAGAUGAGCCUAGGUCGGAUUAGCUAGUUGGUGGGGUAAAGGCCUACCAAGGCGACGAUCAGUAACUGGUCUGAGAGGAUGAUCAGUCACACUGGAACUGAGACACGGUCCAGACUCCUACGGGAGGCAGCAGUGGGGAAUAUUGGACAAUGGGCGAAAGCCUGAUCCAGCCAUGCCGCGUGUGUGAAGAAGGUCUUCGGAUUGUAAAGCACUUUAAGUUGGGAGGAAGGGCAGUAAGUUAAUACCUUGCUGUUUUGACGUUACCAACAGAAUAAGCACCGGCUAACUUCGUG